UCCCCGUUGCCGGGGCAGUCUGGCUAGAAAAAUACAACUAACCAUAAGGGUUGCGCUCGUUGAUGGACUUAACCAAACAUCUCACGACACGAGCUGACGACGGCCAUGCAACACCUGUCACUUGGCUCCUUGCGGCACUCUCGGCUUUCGCCAAAAUUCCAAGGAUGUCAAGCCCUGGUAAGGUUCUUCGCUUACCAUCGAAUUAAACAACACGCUCCACCGCUUGUGCGGGUCCCCGUCAAUUCCUUUGAGUUUUAGUCUUGCGACCGUACUCCCCAGGCGGGAUGCUUAACGCGUUAGCUUCGCUACAUACCGGGUCGAUACGGCAUACAGCUAGCAUCCAUAGUUUACGGCGUGGACUAC
RNAcentral lists this unclassified non-coding RNA (363 nucleotides) under uncultured bacterium. Its description in RNAcentral is "contains 16S-23S intergenic spacer region". The record is from RNAcentral.